AACGAACGCUGGCGGCAGGCCUAACACAUGCAAGUCGAGCGCAGUUAUAAUCUUCGGAUUAUAACCGAGCGGCGGACGGGUUAGUAACGCGUGGGAAUAUACCCAAUUCUAAGGAAUAGCCUCUGGAAACGGAGAGUAAUACCUUAUACGCCCUUCGGGGGAAAGAUUUAUCGGAAUUGGAUUAGCCCGCGUUAGAUUAGAUAGUUGGUGGGGUAACGGCCUACCAAGUCUACGAUCUAUAGCUGGUUUGAGAGGAUGAUCAGCAACACUGGGACGUGAGACACGGCCCAGACUCCUACGGGAGGCAGCAGUGGGGAAUCUUGGACAAUGGGCGCAAGCCUGAUCCAGCCAUGCCGCGUGAGUGAUGAAGGCCCUAGGGUCGUAAAACUCUUUCGCCAGGGAUGAUAAUGACAGUACCGUGGUAAAGAAACCCCGCUAACU
Molecule: ribosomal RNA, 441 nt
Filed under: uncultured bacterium
Lineage: Bacteria
Description: bacterial SSU rRNA
Rfam family: Bacterial small subunit ribosomal RNA
Source: RNAcentral